UAAUAACUCCUUCCACCGAGCCACGCCUCAGAAAUUAGCUAGUCACCCGAUGUGGCGAUAUGCGGAAGAAAUUCUCCUGCAGAAGUCAUCCUCUCAAUAAUUUUUGAAGGAGUAAUACGCAAAGAUAUACGAGACUAAACGAAGGCAAAAGCAAUUCCAACAGCUCCGAAGUAUGGCAAAGGAUCAAAAUUGAACGAUAUCUGGAUUCUACAUCCAAAAAAGAUAUAUGGAUUUCAACUAAGCUUAAUAUGAUCAUUAAACAUUUGACAUCCGAAUUGAAACGCUCUUCCAUUGGUACUUCCUGUUUUUCUUCAAAUCCGACGAUUCGUUCUACUUGGAUAGUAGAAAUGUCAGAACGUCAACGAGCGUAGGAAAUGGAAACGUUUACCUCUUCAGUCUUAUGUUUCAAUGAGAUUUUAUCAUGGCGACGAGAAUAUUUCUAUUCUUGAGCAUUAUUGAAGCAUAUUGAAGCAGAAGAGUGUUUCAAGAGGAAGUUGAAAAUUCUAGCAAGGGAAGGAACAUCGUUAGCUAUUGUUCAUGUAUGCAUUAUGUGAUUGUGAAUACCUAGGAAGAGGAAAAAGAAGAAAAUACGAACGUGCUUGAUGACGAAGUUUCGAAAGUCCAAUAUGGUGCUGUUUUAUAAAGCUUGGAACAAUGGUACGAAAUAAUGGGAGGGAUUUAUCUUCUUCAAAGAAUCUAAUCGUGAGCAGCUUUAGCUAGAGGGUAUAAGCGAUUGUGCUCAAAAAGAUUUGUCGAUGAGCCGUCCGAUGUUCCACGCGGGGUAAGGAUCACAGGGGAAGUAAAAUGAAACUGAGGGAGGUUUAUCAUACAAAUUAAUUGAACAGACAGGGACGAUCAAAAGAUUCAUCUUUUUUCAAAGUAAUACCAUCAGCAGGGGAAUAAUUUUAAAUUAUACGUGAAAUAGAAAGUCCACGUAACGUCAUUGUUAUUCCAUCGAUUUAAAUUAAAUAAUCAUUCGAUAUAAUUAAAAAGGGAGAAGUACUGAAUUCUAUAUUCACGACAUAUACAUAAAAAAUAUUCGUAAUACUUAAUUAGAGUUUUUCUUAAGUAUUGGUAUUUGGAUGAAAUAAUUUGGUGCGUGACGCUAAUUACCCAUUUAGUAUGUUAUGAAAGGAAUUUCGUGAUAGUGGAUGUCCGUAAUACGUUCUCCCAUAUUUAUCGUCAAGUACCUUCGUUUAAACCUUUCUCCAGUAUCUCUCUCCAUGUACGUGUGCUCUGUUGCGCGUCUAUCGGCAUCGGGUCGAGUGGCUUUCAUUGAGUGUGCGUGUGUACGUAGAAUUCCUGCCUUAUUUUGAUAUUAAGGAAAGUAUUUUUUCAUUUGUUUUCCUGUCAUCAGACCAAGCAAACAAUAGGAGAUUGGCUGUAUAAUUCAAUAACCUAUUUAGAUUCAUUGUUUGAUAACAAGCUUACUUAUUUUGUAGAACAAUAGCCUAUUUUUUUAGGAACUAAUUGAUUUGGGACCUUAUAAACGAUAUAUUAGAUAAUUAGAAGUGUAAUGGUAUUAUUGUUUUGCAUUCUCCAAUAGGGAGUAACUUUCCGGAACAAUUUAUCCGUUCAUAUUGAAGAAUCAUACCAGCCGUGGUAUAUCGAUCCGCUAAAGACAAAUGAAAUCAUACAGCUAAAUAGAUAAUUUAAUUAUACCGCUAAUCGUCUUAUCGCAUUGUCUGCUUGGUUUGAUGAGGGGAGAACUAAUGAAAAAAUACCAUCCUUGUUUUCAAAAUAAGAGAGGAGAUGUACGCAAUCACGCGCACUCAUUUCCAUCCACUUGACUGGAGCACGUAAACGCGCAUGUGCACGGAGAAGGGUAGUAAUAAAUCGUUCAAUAUGAUGGUGCUGAACGAUAGGUAGGAGAGAAGGUAUUCCUCAACGAGCAAAUCGUUAAAUGCCGAUCAAUACCCGUUGACAAGGGAAUUUGUAGACAUAGAGGAUCAUAUAUUUUGCAAAAAAAUCACAAUUUUGUCCAUUAUAAUUUUCCAUGAUGUCUGUGAUAAAUGUUGAAUCAAUUCUUUUCCAACAUUAUCAUCGCUCGCAUUAUGCGUGAGGUCUUUCCGUUUUUUUGUUGGAUGUAAUGACUAUCACUCCUAUCGUUUUCUUCCCGAUUUUUUUUUUUUUUUCUAAGAUGUCUGUAUUAAUGUUUGUCUUGAAGCCAAAAUUCCCCUUCGAUAUUACUUAUAGCACGAAACUUACUCGUGUUUGGAAAUUUUGCCAUUCUCUUAAUGAAAAAGAUAUGAGUAAGUAAACAGGUGGGAAGACUGAAAUUGUAUAUUACGAAAUCACGAAACGAUAUAUACCAAAAGAAUAUUACUUUUCUGAUUUUUUGACUUAUUAGUCCAGUUAUCUAUCUAUUCCACUAGAAGUUUCAAUACGAAGUGAGUUUAGCUUCGCAAAUCUCUCCUCAGUUUCAUGAUUGCUUGUUUACUCCAUCCAAUAUCACUGCAUCGUACGAGGCGUACUCGCCUACCAUUGCAGACAAGUCCUUAUCGCUCUCUUUAUGUGGUUUAGUGAAGCCCUCAGACCGUUGUGAACGUACUUCUUUUUCAUAAAAUCGACUGACAUUCUUUUCGUAUAACUUGGUAAUUUGACCAUUUCUGUUUUAACUAACUGAGUGUUUCUCUCGAAGGGGAAAUACGGGAAAGAGGGGAAGGUAAUAUUAGGAAACCAUAAAUGUGACGAAAGAUUUUCUCCGAAUUCGUUUUUUAUUAUUUUUUUUACGUAGUACGAAAAUUGAUUGUGAUAUCAUUAUGAAUAAUAGAAUACUAUAUAGAAUCAUUAUGCAUAAUAGAAUACUGGUAAUAGAAUACUAUUAAGUAUAAGUCAGACUUACGAAAAAAAUAACAGUGCGAAUUUCCUAUAUUAAUAUCCGAUUAACUUCAUAAGAAUUAGUCUUCAUAAUUACAAUAAUUAUUAUUCUAAUAAUUAAUUAUAUUAUUAAUAAUUACAGUUUUAUGUGAUUCUUUCAAUUAAAAAUAGACAAAUUAUUGUAAGAUUCUCAUUAGUAAAUUCCAUGAUACAUUACACAGAUAAUUUCGCGGGAACAUAGAGUAUAUAUACAUAUAAUUUCAUAACUAUAGGAGAGGGGAAAUUAUUUAUCCCCAUGCGUUCUAGUUAGAGAAUUAGAUUUUAGGAAGCUUGAUCUUCUAUCGUAAUGGCAUGGGACUAAUUUAACUAGGAGAAGUCAUUUCUUCCGUGACUUUCGACCCAGUAAUACGCAAGGGUGUGUUAUACGCGAAAUAAUCCCUAGCUCUCAUACGUCCGAAAGACAAGCUUAUAAGCAAUAAAAACGGUUGAAACACCAUUAUAGCUAGUCAAUCUAUUAUUCCAUCAAUAUACUUUAAAUUCAGUAGUAGCCAUUUGUGUAAGAUUUAUUAGAAAAUUUCAUUUAUGUAUUCUAGAAAUUACCGGAUAAUUACUCCAAUUCGGGUUUCAUACCAUUUGGAAUAUUUGUGAUAAAUUCACUUAUAAAUAAAAAUACUUUCUUCGAU
Molecule: long non-coding RNA, 3503 nt
Organism: Vespula vulgaris
Lineage: Eukaryota; Metazoa; Arthropoda; Insecta; Hymenoptera; Vespidae
Exons: 3
Source: RefSeq, a predicted model, not a curated record